Molecule: ribosomal RNA, 305 nt
Filed under: uncultured bacterium
Lineage: Bacteria
Description: bacterial SSU rRNA
Rfam family: Bacterial small subunit ribosomal RNA
Source: RNAcentral
UUUGCCUACGGGACGCAGCAGUGGGGAAUAUUGCACAAUGGGGGAAACCCUGAUGCAGCGACGCCGCGUGAGCGAAGAAGUAUUUCGGUAUGUAAAGCUCUAUCAGCAGGGAAGAAAAUGACGGUACCUGAGUAAGAAGCUCCGGCUAAAUACGUGCCAGCAGCCGCGGUAAUACGUAUGGAGCAAGCGUUAUCCGGAUUUAUUGGGUGUAAAGGGUGCGUAGACGGGACAGCAAGUUAGUUGUGAAAGCCCUCGGCUUAACUGAGGAACUGCAACUAAAACUAUUGUUCUUGAGUGCAGGAGAG